RNAcentral lists this ribosomal RNA (1453 nucleotides) under uncultured organism. RNAcentral describes it as "SSU rRNA". It matches the Rfam family "Bacterial small subunit ribosomal RNA". The record is from RNAcentral.
GAACGCUAGCUACAGGCUUAACACAUGCAAGUCGAGGGGCAGCAUUUCAGUUUGCUUGCAAACUGGAGAUGGCGACCGGCGCACGGGUGAGUAACACGUAUCCAACCUGCCGAUAACUCGGGGAUAGUCUUUCGAAAGAAAGAUUAAUACCCGAUGGCAUAAUUAGACCGCAUGGUCUUAUUAUUAAAGAAUUUCGGUUAUCGAUGGGGAUGCGUUCCAUUAGGCAGUUGGUGAGGUAACGGCUCACCAAACCUUCGAUGGAUAGGGGUUCUGAGAGGAAGGUCCCCCACAUUGGAACUGAGACACGGUCCAAACUCCUACGGGAGGCAGCAGUGAGGAGUAUUGGUCAAUGGGCGCAGGCCUGAACCAGCCAAGUAGCGUGAAGGAUGACUGCCCUAUGGGUUGUAAACUUCUUUUAUAUGGGAAUAAAGUUUUCCACGUGUGGAAUUUUGUAUGUACCAUAUGAAUAAGGAUCGGCUAACUCCGUGCCAGCAGCCGCGGUAAUACGGAGGAUCCGAGCGUUAUCCGGAUUUAUUGGGUUUAAAGGGAGCGUAGGUGGACAGUUAAGUCAGUUGUGAAAGUUUGCGGCUCAACCGUAAAAUUGCAGUUGAUACUGGCUGUCUUGAGUACAGUAGAGGUGGGCGGAAUUCGUGGUGUAGCGGUGAAAUGCUUAGAUAUCACGAAGAACUCCGAUUGCGAAGGCAGCUCACUGGACUGCAACUGACACUGAUGCUCGAAAGUGUGGGUAUCAAACAGGAUUAGAUACCCUGGUAGUCCACACAGUAAACGAUGAAUACUCGCUGUUUGCGAUAUACAGUAAGCGGCCAAGCGAAAGCAUUAAGUAUUCCACCUGGGGAGUACGCCGGCAACGGUGAAACUCAAAGGAAUUGACGGGGGCCCGCACAAGCGGAGGAACAUGUGGUUUAAUUCGAUGAUACGCGAGGAACCUUACCCGGGCUUAAAUUGCAAAUGAAUUAUGGGGAAACCCAUACGCCGCAAGGCAUUUGUGAAGGUGCUGCAUGGUUGUCGUCAGCUCGUGCCGUGAGGUGUCGGCUUAAGUGCCAUAACGAGCGCAACCCUUAUCUUCAGUUACUAACAGGUCAUGCUGAGGACUCUGGAGAGACUGCCGUCGUAAGAUGUGAGGAAGGUGGGGAUGACGUCAAAUCAGCACGGCCCUUACGUCCGGGGCUACACACGUGUUACAAUGGGGGGUACAGAAGGCCGCUACCUGGUGACAGGAUGCCAAUCCCAAAAACCUCUCUCAGUUCGGAUCGAAGUCUGCAACCCGACUUCGUGAAGCUGGAUUCGCUAGUAAUCGCGCAUCAGCCAUGGCGCGGUGAAUACGUUCCCGGGCCUUGUACACACCGCCCGUCAAGCCAUGAAAGCCGGGGGUACCUGAAGUACGUAACCGCAAGGAGCGUCCUAGGGUAAAACUGGUAAUUGGGGCUAAGUC